CCCCCCGUAGCUCAAUGGUAGAGCAGCUGCCUUUUAAGCAGUUGACGGAGGUUCGAUCCCUCCCGGGGGGA
This 71-nucleotide transfer RNA is filed under the name bacterium. RNAcentral's name for it is "tRNA-Lys". It matches the Rfam family "tRNA". Rfam says of the family: Transfer RNA (tRNA) molecules are approximately 80 nucleotides in length. Their secondary structure includes four short double-helical elements and three loops (D, anti-codon, and T loops). The record is from RNAcentral. RNAcentral also lists the same sequence under 1 other name.